Molecule: ribosomal RNA, 253 nt
Filed under: uncultured bacterium
Lineage: Bacteria
Description: partial 16S ribosomal RNA
Rfam family: Bacterial small subunit ribosomal RNA
Source: RNAcentral
UACGUAUGGUGCGAACGUUGUUCGGAAUUACUGGGCAUAAAGAGCACGUAGGCGGUUGGACAAGUCCGGUGUGAAAUCCCUCGGCUUAACUGAGGAACUGCAUCGGAUACUAUUCGACUUGAGUGCAGGAGGGGAGAGUGGAAUUCCAGGUGGAGCGGUGAAAUGCGUAGAUAUCUGGAGGAACGCCGGUGGCGAAAGCGACUCUCUGGUCUGCAACUGACGCUGAGGUGCGAAAGCUAGGGGAGCAAACGGG